AGAUUGAACGCUGGCGGCAUGCCUUACACAUGCAAGUCGAACGGUAGAGUAGCAAUACUCGAGAGUGGCGAACGGGUGAGUAAUAUAUCGGAACGUGCCCAGUCGUGGGGGGAUAACGUAGAGAAAUUUACGCUAAUACCGCAUACGAUCUACGGAUGAAAGCGGGGGGUCGCAAGACCUCGCGCGAUUGGAGCGGCUGAUAUCAGAUUAGGUGUUGGUGAGGUAAAAGCUCACCAAGCCGACGAUCUGUAGCUGGUUUGAGAGAACGACCAGCCACACUGGGACUGAGACACGGCCCAGACUCCUACGGGAGGCAGCAGUGGGAAUUUUGGACAUGGGCGAAAGCCUGAUCCAGCAAUGCCGCGUGCAGGAAGAAGGCCUUCGGUGUAAACUGUCUUUAGUACGGUAACGUAAAAAGGUUCUUUACUAAAUAAAGAAGGACUUAUAGACGGUAACGUAAGUAA
This 464-nucleotide ribosomal RNA is filed under the name uncultured soil bacterium. RNAcentral's name for it is "bacterial SSU rRNA". It matches the Rfam family "Bacterial small subunit ribosomal RNA", at positions 26 to 489 of the family's 1533-position model. The record is from RNAcentral.